Molecule: ribosomal RNA, 301 nt
Filed under: uncultured bacterium
Lineage: Bacteria
Description: partial 16S ribosomal RNA
Rfam family: Bacterial small subunit ribosomal RNA
Source: RNAcentral
CAGUAGCCGCGGUAAUACGAAGGGUGCAAGCGUUAAUCGGAAUUACUGGGCGUAAAGCGUGCGUAGGCGGUUUGUUAAGUCUGUUCUGAAAUCCCCGGGCUCAACCUGGGAAUGGCAAUGGAUACUGGCAGGCUAGAGUGUGAUAGAGGAUGGUGGAAUUCCCGGUGUAGCGGUGAAAUGCGUAGAGAUCGGGAGGAACAUCAGUGGCGAAGGCGGCCAUCUGGAUCAACACUGACGCUGAGGCACGAAAGCGUGGGGAGCAAACAGGAUUAGAUACCCCGGUAGUCCCUGUCUCUUAUAC